Molecule: ribosomal RNA, 413 nt
Filed under: uncultured bacterium
Lineage: Bacteria
Description: bacterial SSU rRNA
Rfam family: Bacterial small subunit ribosomal RNA
Source: RNAcentral
UCGAGAAUUUUUCUCAAUGGGCGCAAGCCUGAAGGAGCGACGCCGCGUGGGGGAUGAAGGGUUUCGAUCCGUAAACCCCUGUCAUUUGUGAACUAGUAAUGAAAGAGGAAGGGACGGCUAACUCUGUGCCAGCAGCCGCGGUAAUACAGAGGUCCCGAGCGUUGUUCGGAUUCACUGGGCGUAAAGGGUGCGUAGGUGGCAUGGUAAGUUUGAUGUGAAAGCUCAGGGCUUAACCCUGAAAUGGCAUUGAAUACUACUGUGCUGGAGGUUUGGAGGGGGACUGGAAUUCUUGGUGUAGCAGUGAAAUGCGUAGAUAUCAAGAGGAACACCAGUGGCGAAGGCGAGUCCCUGGACAACACCUGACACUGAGGCACGAAAGCUGGGGAGCAAACAGGAUUAGAUACCCGUGUAGU